Molecule: non-coding RNA, 28 nt
Filed under: Drosophila melanogaster (fruit fly)
Lineage: Eukaryota; Metazoa; Arthropoda; Insecta; Diptera; Drosophilidae
Also listed under: 3 other names
Source: RNAcentral
UCAGAAGAUUCCAGGUUCGACUCCUGGC